UAAUUAAGUUUCUUUUAGUUUAUUAAUUUCACCCAUAUACAUAGUUGGUUUUGAAAACAUGAUGUGAAGAGCCAGGACAUAGUGUAACAAAACUGUAUGUGAAAAGGUUUCAAUAUGCAACGUGCCUGUGUACCUACUGUGUUUUGUAUAUACUUUACAUUGAAAACCAAGUAAACCACAGUUUUCAAAGGAAGUACACAUUUUAUUUUGAACUAGCAAAUUUAGUUUAUUAAUAUGUAAAAAAAUAAAUCUACAACAGCAACAGUGCAAACACAUCAGGACUUGCAUGGCAUACAGAACACAAAUGAAUAAAACUUAUUGUACAACGGGCCCAAAGUUUCCUAUGGUACUGGAUGCGACAUAUACCACAAACAACAGAGUGAGGGAUAAACUGCAAGGUAAACAAGAAGAUGAACUGCAUAUUACUGGUUCUGUCUUGUACGGUCUCUCUACUUCAGGAGGGAAAGCUGUCAUGCCUUGGAACGACCAUUCUGCAUUAUCCGUUUUUGAACAUCUCACAUUCAUUGGUAGUUUAAGCACAAGCUCAUUAUAGGAGAGGCCCUCUGAUUUGGACCACUUAAACUUGUUCAUUGCAUCCAUAAAAGAUAGGUUUUUAUAUUGCUUAGGACUCUUGAUAAUAAAAGGCCAAGUCCUGACUGGUCUGUAGAUUUCCUUAACACCGAUGAACUGGAGUUGCUCCAUGAUGUCGGGAAUACUUGCGCACCGGGUGAGGUUGAUUCGUGGGUAAUAGAGCAGAUACGACAGGCACAUUUCAUUCCUGGUGCUCAGACCACCCCAUGUCAUGCGUAUUCGGUCCGUAGUGCUGUAGUGACAUUCUGUGAUUAAAUU
RNAcentral lists this long non-coding RNA (849 nucleotides) under Gallus gallus (chicken). Lineage: Eukaryota; Metazoa; Chordata; Aves; Galliformes; Phasianidae. The record is from RNAcentral.